AAUAGAUACCCGGGUAGUCCACGCCCUAAACGAUGGAUACUAGGCGUAAGAGGUAUCGACCCCUCUUGUGCCGCAGCUAACGCACUAAGUAUCCCGCCUGGGGAGUACGGCCGCAAGGUUGAAACUCAAAUGAAUUGACGGGGACCCGCACAAGCGGUGGAGCAUGUGGAUUAAUUCGAUACUAACCGAAGAACCUUACCCAGACUUGACAUCGAUCGCAAGCUCUAGAAAUAGGGCCCUCCCCCACAAGGGGACGUGAAGACACUUGUUGCAUGGCUGUCGUCAGCUCGUGCCGUGAGGUGUACGGUUAAGUCCGCCAACGAGCGCAACCCUCGUCCUGUGUUACCAGCAUGAAAGAUGGGAACCCACAGGAGACCGCCGGUGUAAGCCGGAGGAAGGUGGGGAUGACGUCAAGUCAGCAUGGCAGUUACGUCUGGGGCUUCACACAUGCUACAAUGGGCGAAACAGAGGGCCGCGAUACCGUGAGGUGGAGCCAAUCCCAAAAAUACGCCCCCAGUUCAGAUUGCAGUCUGCAAC
This 537-nucleotide ribosomal RNA is filed under the name uncultured bacterium. Its description in RNAcentral is "bacterial SSU rRNA". It matches the Rfam family "Bacterial small subunit ribosomal RNA", at positions 777 to 1311 of the family's 1533-position model. The record is from RNAcentral.